Molecule: ribosomal RNA, 520 nt
Filed under: uncultured Diversispora
Lineage: Eukaryota; Fungi; Glomeromycota; Glomeromycetes; Diversisporales; Diversisporaceae
Description: SSU rRNA
Rfam family: Eukaryotic small subunit ribosomal RNA
Source: RNAcentral
AGCAGCCGCGGUAAUUCCAGCUCCAAUAGCGUAUAUUAAAGUUGUUGCAGUUAAAAAGCUCGUAGUUGAACUUCGGGGUUCACCCAUUGGUCAGGCUUAAUUGUCUGUACUGGUGAGAUGAGUCUCUACCUUCUGAGGAACUUUCAUGCCAUUUAUUUGGUGUGAUUGGAAAUCAGGACUGUUACUUUGAAAAAAUUAGAGUGUUUAAAGCAGGCUAACGUCUGAAUACAUUAGCAUGGAAUAAUGAAAUAGGACGGAUUGAUUCUAUUUCGUUGGUUUCUAGGGUCACCGUAAUGAUUAAUAGGGAUAGUUGGGGGCAUUAGUAUUCAAUUGUCAGAGGUGAAGUUCUUGGAUUUAUUGAAGACUAACUACUGCGAAAGCAUUUGCCAAGGAUGUUUUCAUUAAUCAAGAACGAAAGUUAGGGGAUCGAAGACGAUCAGAUACCGUCGUAGUCUUAACCAUAAACUAUGCCGACUAGGGAUCGGACGCAGUUAAUUUUAUAAUGACGUGUUCAGCACCU